GCCCGAUUGUACAUUGGCGGCUUAAGCUAUGGCUUAGUUGAACCGGGUUCAAUUUUGAGCGUCGGUUUAACUUCAUUCGGGUUGUUCAAUGCCGAGUUCAGUUAAGCCGAGGUUCAUACAAAUUUUGGUAAGGUUGGCAACGUAAGGCAUGCGUAUUCAAAGCAAUUCCCGUCAAUUCUCGACAUAAAUUUUCCCGCCAUUUAUGUAUUAUUAUUUGGUUUUUGUCAAUAUAAUUCUUUUAUUACUGUUAUUAGUUUAAUCGGUAUUUUCUAUCGUUUAGUUUAUCAGUUUAAUCAAUUUCCUACGUUAAAUUUGUGAACAGACCAUUUGAAUAGCUUGUGAUGAAGGAUUGCGUAAGGGUGUUAUCAGGUUUUCUUGACUCCGUAACCACUAUCACCAAAGAAGAUACUAAUUCAAUCUUCACAUUCUCUUCUCAUAAAUAUUUAACUGUUUACAGCUAUGAUUUCAAAUUCACUCAAAAAUGUUAAUAUUUGCCUUAUUCUAGGGAAGUAGGUAGGUAAUUUAAAUAAUUUUAGAAGGUAAAUUAGUUUGUAAUUAUUAUUAAAUAAAGUGAUAAUAUGUACCUACAUAAGCAUGGUACAAAUAUAAUUAAUUUAAGAUUUAUUAAUAAAUUAUGUACAUCUAAUUUAAUAAAUUAACAAAAUCGUUUUCUACAUUUGCUUCAAAAUCAUUCACAAGUUGCAAAAAGGAGCCUGUUGCUUAAAACCAGUGAUAUGGGCCCACUUCACUGCACAAAACCUUAAUUUAAGGCAAUAAAAACAAUGUUCUUAGAAGAUACAGCUUGGUUCUUGAAAUGUCAAUAACAAAUUUGCCACUUGUUUUCGUUCUCGUUCUUACCUAUCUGUUCGAUUUUUUAUUCUAUGAGCAAUACUAGUUUCAUACAAAUAGUGAACAGUGAACAGAUAUCCAAAAUCUUU
Molecule: long non-coding RNA, 938 nt
Organism: Diabrotica virgifera virgifera (western corn rootworm)
Lineage: Eukaryota; Metazoa; Arthropoda; Insecta; Coleoptera; Chrysomelidae
Exons: 2
Source: RefSeq, a predicted model, not a curated record